CUUCUUCAAUUUGUUGUGGGCAAAUAUAGUGAAUGUGCGAAUCAAUGCCACCAGCGGUCACAAUUGAUCCUUCUGCGGCAAUAAUUUCUGUACCCGGACCAAUAAUGAUAUCCACGCCCGGCUGCACAUCUGGAUUGCCCGCUUUACCAAUGCCACAAAUACGGCCAUCUUUUACCGCAAUGUCGGCUUUCACGACACCCCAAUGAUCUAAGAUCACUGCAUUGGUGAAAACCAGAUCAGGAGUAAAUUCAGACACGCGCUGGCUUUGCCCUUGACCAUCACG
Molecule: small RNA, 283 nt
Filed under: Vibrio rumoiensis 1S-45
Lineage: Bacteria; Pseudomonadati; Pseudomonadota; Gammaproteobacteria; Vibrionales; Vibrionaceae
Description: 5' ureB small RNA
Rfam family: 5' ureB small RNA
Source: Rfam by way of RNAcentral